AUCUCCUUGGGCCUCGCCGGCAAUGACAAUUAAUCGCAAUUGGACCAUCCGAACUCUAAGGGCUCCGAUUGCGUUAGUUGGCAUAGUCGGCGAGAGCCUGGAGCUUUC
This is a non-coding RNA of Caenorhabditis brenneri, 108 nucleotides long. The record is from Rfam. NCBI's taxonomy places the organism in Eukaryota, Metazoa, Nematoda, Chromadorea, Rhabditida, Rhabditidae.